RNAcentral lists this ribosomal RNA (253 nucleotides) under uncultured bacterium. RNAcentral's name for it is "partial 16S ribosomal RNA". It matches the Rfam family "Bacterial small subunit ribosomal RNA", at positions 524 to 776 of the family's 1533-position model. The record is from RNAcentral.
UACAGAGGUGCCAAGCGUUGUUCGGAUUUAUUGGGCGUAAAGGGUGCGUAGGCGGUCAUGCAAGUCGGAUGUGAAAUCCCGGAGCUUAACUCCGAAACUGCAUUCGAUACUGCCGUGCUUGAGGACUGGAGAGGAGACUGGAAUUUACGGUGUAGCGGUGAAAUGCGUAGAUAUCGUAAGGAAGACCAGUGGCGAAGGCGGGUCUCUGGACAGUUCCUGACGCUGAGGCACGAAGGCCAGGGGAGCAAACGGG